UAGGCAGUAUCCUUACAGUGGAACUGCACUAGUACUGCGAGUUUUUGAACAUAAACCAUAUAUCUGCCUAGAUCCAAAAUCAGGACCGGGACAGAGGG
Regulatory RNA element from Fictibacillus arsenicus, 98 nucleotides. It matches the Rfam family "pan motif". The record is from Rfam. Lineage: Bacteria; Bacillati; Bacillota; Bacilli; Caryophanales; Fictibacillaceae.